Molecule: small RNA, 107 nt
Filed under: Marmota monax (woodchuck)
Lineage: Eukaryota; Metazoa; Chordata; Mammalia; Rodentia; Sciuridae
Source: RNAcentral
GCUGGGUGCGGUGGCACACACCUGUAAUCCCAGUGGCUUAGGAGGCUGAGGCAGGAAGACCACAAGUUUGAGGCCAACCUCGGCAACUUAGCAAAACCCUGCCUCAA